Molecule: long non-coding RNA, 6071 nt
Filed under: Sus scrofa (pig)
Lineage: Eukaryota; Metazoa; Chordata; Mammalia; Artiodactyla; Suidae
Description: lncRNA (ENSSSCG00050002090.1)
Source: RNAcentral
UGAAUUGGAGCUGCAGCUGCUGGCCUACACCACAGCUACAGAAACACCGGAUCCCAGCCGCAUAUGUGACGUACACUGCAGUUUGUAGCAGUGCCAGAUCCUUAAUCUACUUUGCAAGGCCAGGGAUUGAAAACCUGCAUCCUUAUGGAUACUAGUUGGGUUCUUAGCCUGCUGAGCCAUAGCAGGAACUCUGGGAAUUUUAUGCAUUUAUGAACAAUGAACACUAAUUUAUGGAACACAUUUCUUGGCAUUAAUUGGAUCAUGAACAUAGAGGGACAAACAUUGAUUUGUCUGAAGUCACAGAUUUUCAAGAACAGUCUUCACACAUAAAAAUUCCAUUGGUCCAUCUAACUGCUCUGGCAUUAGUAGCAAUCAAUACUGAGGAACUGUGGUGUGUGAGGUGAACUCUUUGUUUUGAAAUACGGCAACUCUUCUCUGGUGUAUUCACAUUCUGCUCCCUUCAGAUUAUCCUUGAAUUUAAAAAUACUGUCCUGUCUGAGGCUAUUAAGUGCUAAUAAACAUUAGCAUUAUUCAAUUGAAGGGAGCUAUUUUUCAGUGAUGCGUGAAAAGUGUUUCCAACCUCUGCUUAGGAACUGCUUUGGCGUGGAAAGUAUAAGCUAUUAUUAUUGCUUGUAUAAUACUGUUUUUACUUUGCAGUCUAACUUUGAAAAAAACCACAUAUAUAAUCUAUAAGUAAGUAUAAAAUCUUUAGGAGGUUAGUAAGUAGUGCUAAAAACAAAGUUGGAGAAAUGGGCCAUUUCCCCUGCCCCUGUCCCCUCCCCUUUUACUCCUAAAUCAUCCACUACUCCCGAAAACUAGUGCAGCAGAGUAGAUAGAUACAUGAGCUCUGAAUCCAUUUGCCACACUCUGAAAAAAGUACUGUUACUGUCCCUUCUAAGGAUAAUAAGCAAUAAUACUUAUUUCAGAGAGUGGCUAUGGGAAUAAAUUCCCACAUGAUAAGCACUUAGAAAAGUGUUUAAUACAUAGUAAGUGCUCAAUAAAUCUCAGUUAUUAGUAUAACUACAAGAGCCAGAUACCUUUUGCUAUUAAAAUACUUACAGAAAAGGCACUAUUAUGGUAAAAGUAAUUCAAAUAACUGCUAUUCAUAACAUACUAUUAUGCUCUAAGUGAUUUUCAGGUGAUAUGUUAUCUGUUAAAAGACUAUUAGAUAGUGUGAUAUAAUUUUAGUUAUUCAAGUAAAGGUCUUUUGCAAGUUACUCCAGACUUCAUUUCCUUCCCUAACCAAUUUAUUGCUUUUGAUAUGUUGGAGGGACACACACACACACACACACACACACCAUGUGAUAGAUAGGUCCAUGCUGUUUGUGAGAUGUUUGAAGAGUUCAAAACUUAGCCAAAAAUCACUUUGACUUUAUUCAUUGUAUUUUACAUAUAAAAGACCCUUUUUCCUCAGUCAUUAUAGGGUAAUAUAUAUAAGUCCCAUCUGAUAUAAUAAACAUAUUGAUAAAUUGAGAUAAGUCUAUCCAUCCAUGCCUCCAUCUAACCAACCAUCUCUAACAUAUUCCUUAAGAAACUGUGACCAUAAAAAAGCUCUCACUGCAAUUCCUGCUAUGGUGCAGUGGGUUAAAAAUCAGACUGCAAUGGUUUGGGUCAGUACAGGUUAAAUCCCCAGCCCAGCACAGCAGGUUAAAGGAUCUGGCAUUGCUGUAGCUGUGGAGUAGGCUGCAGCUGUGGCUGUGAUUCAGUCCUUGGCCCUCGAACUUCCAUAUGUCUUGGAUGCGGCCAUAAAAAAAAGCUCUAAUAAUAUGGGAGAUACUGUUAAUACAUAGUUGAACAGUUUUUUAAAAAUUGCAAACCUGUUGUUUUAGACCCCUGCUGGCAAUAAAGAAAAAUAUUUAUUUUUUCAAAGAUUACUGGGAUAUCAUUUGGACAUUUUUCUUUAAAUCAACUAAAUUCCCUAUAUAUGCAAAAGAUAAUAGUGAGGUGACCUAUUCUUUAUAGAGGAAUCUGAAAAAAUUAACUUUUAUACCCUGAAAGGUCAAAUGAGAUCAGAUAUUCUCUUUAUAAUCUAUGAUGGAAGAGUUUAAAUUUAAAUCAAAACAAGGAAUGAAAUGUUAAUGAGUUCUUAUAUAUUCAUACUGAUCACUGAUUACAGAAAAAGGGUUUGAAGCCUGAAACAGCAAAAUUUGUGCCUGUUAAUUUUUUUCUUUUAAAUAAAAAGGAUUAAUCCUGGAGUCUAUAGGCCAGUGCAUCUGACCGCAAUAUGCUAAACUACAUUACUCAAACAUGGCCUGGCACUUAAAUACAAGUAAUUGAAAAUGAACUUGAAUACUUAAAGUAGUGAUGGAUUUUAAUAAGGGUUGGGAUCAUCAAAUCUUUUUCUCACAAACAUGGAUGGUGCACAGGGGGUCAGAGAAUAAAGCAGAACCACCAGAAAUGCUUAUAGUUAAGACAGAAUUAAUUCCAGCUCUGUACUUCAGAGGAUAAUACCUAGCAGCAAAAUGUGAAAUGUAGCUAGAGGGCACCUGCAAAUUCUGUCUGAAGGAUAGAGCCAAAGUGUCAAAACUGUAGAAACCAAAGAGUCCACAAAUCAAGAGACAAUGCAAAAUAAAGAAGAAUGGAAGAUAAAGUCAAAAUCCAUGAGUCUGAAAAAAAAUGCUGGGUUGAAGAAGGAGAUGUAAGGAGAAGUGGGAGUAGGAACAGCUAGAAGGGGCGGGGUCACUAGUUGGUAAUCUGAGGAAUGUGUGCUAUUCCAAGAAUUUAAAAAGCAAUAAAUUUUUGAGACUGGAGCAGCACAAUUUUGAAUCAGAUGUCUGUGCAUUGCUUCAUGUAUGACUUAGCCUUGUUUAAAAGAUAGCUCCAAGAUUUGGGCAAGAAAAGAUUCGUCUAUAUUCAUUAGAAUCAUUUGCAAUGGCUCAACUACCAAGGAAUGACGGAUAAAAAGAAAAUAGGAGAUUCUUAGUGAAAACAUUAAGGUGACUCUGAGAUGUUGUUAUGUGUUACUUAACAUGUAGGACUGUCAUAAUGCAAAAAUGAGAAAACAGGUAUGAAAGUACAAUCUUGGAACAAAAAGAUUUUGUACAAGUGCAGGAUAGGGCAACAAUUAGGGUGUUUCUGCAUUGAGAUGGAAACGUAUUUAAGGUUUUGACAAUAUUUUAAGUCAAAUAGUGACAACUAAAAUAAUUUUUUUCCUAACAGUAUAUUUGUCAUAGGUUUUCCACAUUCCUUGGGUGCUUCUAGUAUAUAAAGGACUUCCUGAUGGAGGGAAGUACUGGAGAAUAAAAAUGGUAGUCUCAGUUUUGGUGGAAAAAGUUGAUUGAUUGACAUCCUGCUCUGUUUCUCUGCUUAAUAUCUCAAGCUAGUAAUACAGGAUGGUGAAUGUUGCCCUUAUUUGCCACGCUGCCAACUGUACAGAUGCCAAUGUGUAGUGAACUUCAGUUUCUCACAUUUCUCAUCAAGGCUGAAAGUAAUUUAUACUAGUUCUCGUGCUGUUAAAUCAUCUUCUAUGCUAUUUACAGAUAUUACACAAAAUCAUUACAGAGAUGCAAAUAGAGAUGAUUUUAAGUAUAAACCUUUAACUGUAUAGUCUCCUUAUCAUUCUUUUAUAGUCAACAUUUUUUAAAAGGAGGAUAUCUUUGGCUACCAAAGAAAAAGAGAUAAUAAUUUUUUUACUUUUCAAGCUGCUGUGAGAGGAGGAGGGUGUCUAUCUGCCAACUCCAUCCCAGUAUGAAGUAUAGAGCAUACCUACAAACUGGUUAGACAGCUGCAGUGUAAGCAAGAGCCCAGCAGGUGGCACAAUAAUGGAGAAAUGGCUGGGAUUUUGCCCAGACUAAAGAACCUAAAAAAGAUUUCUGCACACAGAACUGUGUUUUCCUCUCCAGGGUAAAAUAUUUAGUGACCAUAAUGAGUCCUAAACUUAGAAAGAAAUUCUGUGGAAAUAAGUGUAAAUUCAUGAAAUGAUUUACGAUGGCAACUAUGAAACAGUAAAUAUUUGUGGAGUCUGAGGCAAAAGUAGAAACGGAGCCUGGUAUACUGCAUUUCUAAAUAUUCAAAGUUAUAAGUCAAAAUAUCAAAUUUUAAAAACAUGUUCUUCAAUUGCACCUUCAGGAUCCCGUGGUCCUGCUAGGUGUCCAUCUGCACUCUUUCCAUGCCCCAUACUCAGCCAUCCCUUGGCCACCCUUGAGUUGAGGCUAGGGAGUUGCACCAGUGGUAUGGUUCUCCCUCAGAGAAUGGACUGGGGAUGAAUGGCUGUGGGUCCAGAAAACGGGAUCAGGACAGUCUGGAUAAACAAUUAUGGGGACUGGAUACCUGGAUGGCCUAGAAAAAGUGCACAGGCUCCUGGCAGACAUGUACCCUUGACUCUGCAAACUCCUCAAUUAGUGGGAAGAGAAGUGGCCAAAAGAAGCCCAGAGGAAGACUGAGUGUAAGGCCAGGGGAGCUCUACUACAGCUACAUUUUUCCUUUUUCUUUUUGUCUUUUUAGGGCCACACCCGUGGCACGUGGAGGUUCCGAGGCCAGGGGUCCAAUUGUAGCUGUAGCUGCUGGCCUACACACAGCCACAGCAACGCCAGAUCUGAGCCACAUCUGUGAUCCACACCACAGCUCUCAGCAACGCUGGAUCGUUAACCCACUGAGGGAGACCAGGGAUCAAACCUGCAUCCUCAUGGAUACUAAUCUGCUGAGCCAUGAUGAGAACUCCAUCUGCUACAUUUUAAUAAGAGCUAAUGUAUAUAGUGUUUUUCCAUUUGCAUUUAACUUCCAGGUUCUUAAUCUUAUUGAAGUUUGACAAACAUCUCUGUGAGGUAGAAAGAAUUUAUUAGUAUAAUUGUAUAGAUGGGGAAAUUGUCUCAUAGAAAUCAUAUGAUGUUAUCAAGGCCCCAAAACAUGCACAGCACAGUGGCAGAUCUCAUACCCAGGUAUUCUUAGUGUUGGGUUCUUUCCAUUGCACUGCCCUGGGCAGAGGCCUCUAUGGCAGGCAGUCAACUCAGAGCUUAUGUCUUGAGACUUCUGAAUACUUAAAAUUGGGGGAAAAGUCCUUUGGAUAACACGUUUAAUUUUCUUCAGCUGGCAUGAUUAAAGGAAAAUUCCAUGCACACCAAAUUGUCCAGGUCUAAAGUUUGGACAUAAAUCCUCCUCCUUAAUGAUACAAGUUUUAGAACUGCACUCUGCUUACAGUGUUUCCUGUAACAGAAACCACAACGGGGCACUCAGUUCUAUUAUACCCCUUUGCCAAAGUCUCAGCAUCUUCCCUAUUCAAAAGACUCAGAAGCAGAGUUUCGAGUUUGGGGUGUAUUUGUCUCAGAUACUUUGGGUUUUUCACCAAAACCGAAGUAAUUGCCUUCUAUUCCUGUCUUAUUGGCCCUUCUCAGUUCUCAGUAUUCAUAUGGUCAAACACAUUCUCUUAGAAUGUUUGAUUAUAAAGCCAAUGCACACUGGGCUUCCUUCCUUGAAAACUGCGCUGCUUGAAAGAUUCUGAUUCUCACUAACUUUUUCAUACUGUGUGUUCUCAUGGUGUGGUCCCACUGCCUAGACUCAGAGCGACUUUCAGACGGUAGUAGUGAAUUCUUUGAAAAAGGAAUCUACAUGAAAACUGAAACUAUGCGGACUUUAUCUAAAAUAAAUACAAAUAGACCUGUUUUUAGUUGAAACAUGCAGAUGAAUUGCUCAGAAUUCCGUGUUGCCAUUUGUGAUGGUUAAUUGUGUGUGUCACCUCGACUGGCCACGGGGUGCCCAGAUUAUACCUUAUUUCUGGGUAUGUCUUUGUGUUUCUGGAUGAGACGAGCAUGUGAAGCAGGGGACUCUGUAAAGCAGACCACCCUCCACAAUGUGAGUGGGCUUCAUCCCACCCACUGAAGGUCUGAUUAAAACAAAAAGGCAGAGGAAAGAGGAAUCUGCCUUUAUUCCUGCUACACUGCUUGAGCUGGGACAUCUCAUCUCAUCUCAUCCUCUUCUGCCCCUGUGCUGGGAUUUGUACCGUUGUGUCCCCUGGUUCUCAGGCCUUUGGACUUGGACUGAAUUACACUGCUGGCUUUUCUGAGUCUCCAGCUUCCAGAUAGCAGAUACUGUGACUUCUCAGCCUUUACAAAAUGUGAAACAAUUCUUGAUCAUAU